GCCAAAGUUCGAGAAGUCAUUAAGCUGAGUAAAAACAGACUAAGGAAGUCGAUGCUCUCCUUCUUGGUCAAGUAGACAAUGGAUAUGUGGGGACUACAGUGGUGAACAAGCAGAAACAGUAUCUCACCUCAGAAAUGUGAUCCUCUAGUGUGGAAGACACACAUCAAAUGACUAGCAUUUUCAAAACUAAGAUGCUUGAGUCAUUUUACAUCAUCACCAUUGUAAACACUUCUAUGGAUGUAGACAUAUCUAAGUCUCUGCAUUCAAUUCUCUCAGUAUCACCAGCUGUCUCGUGCUCAGCAGCCCUGAUGGCCCUGACCUUCAAUCUGCAAAGCAAAGCGACCCAUCCUUCCUUCAGUUGCUCCUGGCCACGUUCUUGUGCCGAUAUCGUUCGGCCUCGAUACUAAGCUCUGAUGGGUUUUCGCUGUCCUCUCCCAGCAAGGUACAUCUCGCUCGGAUGCAACUCUUUACACACCCCCACAAUCAUUCAUCUAAAUAGCGCCUAAGACCCGUUGACUCAAUUGGAGUUUAUAGAUACACCAUCAUGUCUGCCAAAAUGGUGAAUGUACUUUCUUCUUUCCAUUGUUACCCAGCUCCUAAGAACCUCCACGGGCC
Long non-coding RNA from Mastomys coucha (southern multimammate mouse), 615 nucleotides. RefSeq lists it as uncharacterized. NCBI's taxonomy places the organism in Eukaryota, Metazoa, Chordata, Mammalia, Rodentia, Muridae. The transcript has 5 exons. The record is from RefSeq and is a predicted model, not a curated record.